GAGCUAUCUCCCUGCAGGGUGCUGACAUACGUACCCACUUCAUAACUACAUCAGGGUGUGGAGUCUGUUUAUUCCACAGAUCGCUUCAGCGGUGCCCGAAAAGCCGCAGUGUGCCAGGCUUUCCAGCCAACAUCCCGGGCUAAAUGGAAAGACAAACACGAAGGAAUGACUUCAGAGAGCAGCUUGGGGCCUGUGCCCAGCCCGUGAGCUCGCUCGGCCUCUUGGCAUCCCGUGCUGGGCCUGCUGCUGCAGCGAGGAGUGGAGGAUUUCCAGAUCCAUGGGUUUAUUGGCUUGGAGAGGCGGGAAGACAGGCAGUCAACAUCCAUUAAUGUACCGCAAACUAGAAACACCUGUUGGCCUCCAAAGCUGGGUUUUGGCUGGUUUACAGAGAGAGAGGGUGGAACAGGUGGCCCUGUGGCCAGCAGGAACGUUGAGAGGGUGCAGAGGCCCCACAAAUAUGGAAUUAUGGAAGGAGAAAGCGGCCGCACCGUUCCACGCAGCACAUGUGUCACUGUCUGCAAGCUGAGCCACGGGAAACUGCAGCCCCAUAAAAUUAAGUGUGUCUGGGAGGAAACCAGCCAUGCUGGGGCUGGGGAGUCUCAGCCCAGAAUGUCCAGGAUGCUCUAUAAUUCUGUAAUUCCAUGAUAAACUGCAGAGGAACAAAUUCCCUGAGCUGGUGCUUUGAUCCUGGUGUCACUGAUGCAAGAGGAGUACCAUUUUCCAAGAUUUCUUCAAAGAGCUCAGCCCUACCUGUUUGCCAGCUCUUAAAUACCAUGCUUGGCUGAUGGACAAGCUGAUAGCACAGGACGUGGCCGAGCUCUGCACAAGCCGCCCUUGUUCCACUGCCUUCCCGAGCCAAAAUACAAGAAAAUCCCAGCAGGAAUCUCCUCUGGCCUCGCACUCCUCUCCCCUCCCAGCAGAAGGCUAACCUUGUGA
This is a long non-coding RNA of Passer domesticus (house sparrow), 936 nucleotides long. RefSeq lists it as uncharacterized. The record is from RefSeq and is a predicted model, not a curated record. The transcript is spliced from 3 exons. NCBI's taxonomy places the organism in Eukaryota, Metazoa, Chordata, Aves, Passeriformes, Passeridae.